RNAcentral lists this unclassified non-coding RNA (263 nucleotides) under plant metagenome. RNAcentral's name for it is "partial contains small subunit ribosomal RNA, internal transcribed spacer 1, and 5.8S ribosomal RNA". The record is from RNAcentral.
UUUCCGUAGGUGAACCUGCGGAAGGAUCAUUAUUGUAUAACCGAGGUGCGAGGGCUGUCGCUGACCCGAAAGGUCGUGCACGCCCGAGUGCCCUCACACACAUCCAUCUUACCCCUAUGUGCACCACCGCGUGGGUCCCCCUUUGGCUUGUUCGGAGGGGGGCUUACGUUUUCACACAAACUUUGUAUGCAGUGUAGAGUGUAUUUUUUGUUUUUGCGAUCACGCAAUCAAUACAACUUUCAACAACGGAUCUCUUGGCUCUC